UCUUCCUAACCUAGACAAGCAGAAUUGUCUAAGGGUUGGAUUGUUCACCCACUAACAGGGAACGUGAGCUGGGUUUAGACCGUCGUGAGACAGGUUGGUCUCCUAUCUACUGCAGGCGUCGAUACUUGACGAGAGUUGUCCCUAGUACGAGAGGACCGGGAUGGACGAACCUCUGGUAUGCCAGUUGUUCCGCCAGGAGCACGGCUGGUUAGCUACGUUCGGAAGUGAUAACCGCUGAAAGCAUCUAAGCGGGAAGCACGCUUCAAGAUGAGGGCUCCCACAGGGUUGACCUGGUAAGGCCCCCAGCUAGACGACUGGGUUGAUAGGCCGGAAGUGGAAGCACAGUGAUGUGUGGAGCUGACCGGUACUAAUAGGCCGAGGACUUGCCACA
This 391-nucleotide ribosomal RNA is filed under the name Actinomycetota bacterium. RNAcentral's name for it is "Actinobacteria bacterium partial 23S ribosomal RNA". It matches the Rfam family "Bacterial large subunit ribosomal RNA", at positions 2537 to 2925 of the family's 2925-position model. The record is from RNAcentral. Lineage: Bacteria; Bacillati; Actinomycetota.